GUGCUAAGUUGGGCUCAGUGGUAGAGCACUCGUCUGGCACGUGGGAGGCACUGGGUUCGAUCCUCAGCACCACA
RNAcentral lists this transfer RNA (74 nucleotides) under Marmota monax (woodchuck). RNAcentral's name for it is "tRNA.Ala". The stretch from base 12 to 67 matches the Rfam family "tRNA", at positions 9 to 63 of the family's 71-position model. From Rfam's summary of the family: Transfer RNA (tRNA) molecules are approximately 80 nucleotides in length. Lineage: Eukaryota; Metazoa; Chordata; Mammalia; Rodentia; Sciuridae. The record is from RNAcentral.